UAUGUCAACUCAUUGCUCACUGAUUAGAUUAUGUUUAAGAUACAUAGAAUCCCUAUGCAUCUUAAUUAUGUUUAAGGCUCGAACAUAGGAUAGCUGGUAUUUCCCAUUCCCAGUAUUGGGUAUAUUGUCACGGAAAUAUUGGUCAUUUGUUUUCCAAUAUUCUUGAAUUUUCUAUUGUUCUGAUGGAGUAAUCAGCUUGAAAUUCUUAUUUUAUAUUCUACUCUGUUAUCUGUGAUAUGAACAUCCAAAAUCUCAAAUCCUUCUGAAGGGCCAGCAGAAUCAUAAAUGGCGGGAUCUUUUGAGGUCUGCUGUUUUAAUUCAAGACCAACUGAGGACUGUUUUUCAGAAGCUCUGGCUUUCUUUGGAGAAAACUUAUAAUGAGUAGAAAAGGCUGGAAAAAGUGAUGGUACAGCAGUGAUUUUCAGAAGUGGAUACCCAGCUCCAGGCCGAAUCUGGUAAUCACUUUCUGUGAAAUGAACACUGCAGAUUCUGGAGUGAGCUUUUGGUUCCCAAUUCUCCCUUUUCACAGCUGAUAUCCACUUAUUCAACAAUUCCGGAUUUUUGAAUGGAAAUCUGAAAUGAAUGCACCUUGACCUACAUUAACCAAAAUGGUGGACUAUAACCACACUGUAUUCAAGCGAUUCAAGUUGGCAAGAUAACCGAGGUUAUUAGUGGUUAUCCGCUUCAAAAUCGAUUUUAAUAAUAUAGGUAAUAUUUCGAUUUAGAUAAAUGUCUCCUGUCAAAAUUUUUCGGUGGCGUAGAUAAAGGGGUGUGAUGAUCCUUUUCUCAUUGAAAAUCUACGCCACUGUCUUUGUUUCUAAAAAGUUAUUGCACUAAAAUCCUAAUGCAAUAACUUUGAUGAAUUCUGUGUAAUUAGAAUGGUGUCAGUUGCUCUUAGGUUAUGGUUUAAAAAAUGAGGCAAGAUACUAUUUUUGAGAUGAUAUUG
Molecule: long non-coding RNA, 946 nt
Organism: Harmonia axyridis
Lineage: Eukaryota; Metazoa; Arthropoda; Insecta; Coleoptera; Coccinellidae
Exons: 3
Source: RefSeq, a predicted model, not a curated record